This is a long non-coding RNA of Alligator mississippiensis (American alligator), 789 nucleotides long. RefSeq lists it as uncharacterized. The transcript is spliced from 2 exons. Lineage: Eukaryota; Metazoa; Chordata; Crocodylia; Alligatoridae. The record is from RefSeq and is a predicted model, not a curated record.
UUUUCCUCAGAAGUGUCCGGGACCCCCUCGCCCCCUGGUCUGCACCGCCCGGCUCCUUCCCCCGCCCCGUGUCCGAGCCUCAGUGCCAGGGAGCUGGGCCCGGGCCCGGGCCCGGGGCGGUUCCCGGGGCCCAGGGUAGCAAUGUGAAGCAUCCCGUCCGCAGGGGGGGGCUUUGGGGACCUUCCGUCCAAAGGGAAAAGGGGAUCUCGGACCACAACGCUCCAAAACUACUGUGCCUAAAUUAAAUUUAAAAAAAAAAAGUCAUGAUAAUAGAACCGCAGUUUCCAUUAUUGAGCAAAAUCACAUCCUGCCAGGACUGAAAAGAUUUGAGAUCCACCAGGAAACAUGUUUGUGGCAAUCCAGACGCUACAUUAUAGAUUUUAAACCACAUUUCCAGACCCAUUUCAUUGUCACUUCCUGCAACUUCAUUGGUGUCAAAGGUCACGGGACCUCACUGGAAGACGUCAAACAUAGUUGAACUUACAGCCUUAUUGGUCAUUCUGAAUCAAUUUCUCGGUGCCUCCACAGAAUGUCUAAAAUACUUGCAUAGAAGUUGAAAACGGGUAUCUUUGAAUGUAAAGGUUCUUGCCUAUUCAGUACUAAAUUACAGAAUGCAAGCUUUAUAAAAGUCCUACAUUUCAAAAUAACCAAGGAAGCUAUUAAUUUUUUGUCAACUAUGAGGCAAACAUUUUUUAUGGACCCUAAUUAGUCAACUCCUUUGAAGAUUACCUUUCUUUGCUGCAAACUCUUUAAAAUAUCGUGUUGACUAUUAAAACUAUUUUUACUGGA